RNAcentral lists this non-coding RNA (207 nucleotides) under Candidatus Accumulibacter. Lineage: Bacteria; Pseudomonadati; Pseudomonadota; Betaproteobacteria. The record is from RNAcentral.
GACGGAAUUUACGUGCAAGGUGCCGCAACGCAGAUUCUCUGCCGCGGUUAAACGGGAAACAGGUGAGCGUCGACGCGACGCGAUGCCUGUGCUGCCCCCGCAACGGUAAGCGAGUGCGGGUGUGUCACAUGCCACUGGGCGAAAGCUUGGGAAGGCGACACAUCAAGACUCGCGAGCCCGGAUACCGGCCUUCGCACACAUCAGCGG